Molecule: ribosomal RNA, 301 nt
Filed under: uncultured bacterium
Lineage: Bacteria
Description: partial 16S ribosomal RNA
Rfam family: Bacterial small subunit ribosomal RNA
Source: RNAcentral
CAGCAGCCACGGUAAUACAGAGGGUGCAAGCGUUAAUCGGAAUUACUGGGCGUAAAGCGCGCGUAGGUGGUUUGUUAAGUUGGAUGUGAAAGCCCCGGGCUCAACCUGGGAACUGCAUCCGAAACUGGCAAGCUAGAGUAUGGUAGAGGGUAGUGGAAUUUCCUGUGUAGCGGUGAAAUGCGUAGAUAUAGGAAGGAACACCAGUGGCGAAGGCGACUACCUGGACUGAUACUGACACUGAGGUGCGAAAGCGUGGGGAGCAAACAGGAUUAGAUACCCCCGUAGUCCCUGUCUCUUAUAC